CAUGCAUGCCACGGGAAUGCACAUCAAGCAAGUGGGUCAGGUCAUAAGCAUUCUUAAAAUCUCACGCAUGUGCACGCGCGCUUCCUCCUUCAGUUCAUCUGCAUGAUGGCAUUGGAAGGCAGUCAGUAUUUGCUACGGAACUCCCCCUAGAAGGUGAAAGUCACAAAUCUUUACUGAAACGAGAGCACACAGUCUGCAAAAAAUAACUGAAAUGGUGCAUUCGGGCACUAAGAAACCUUGGUAAUAACUACAUUACCCCACCUCUCCAUGUGAAACUAAUCCCAUUGGAAUUGGUAACACUCCAAAAAAUGUCUUAGUUCUGAAAACGGCAAACAAGGUAUGUUCAGACUACAGGUAUGUUGUCAUUUUGUCAAUAUAAAAACAGACUAAUCAUUGUAGCAGAAUCAUUUUCAAAUUUUGAGGAAAAUAAAUGCCUUCCAGAGAUGGGGUCAAGUUACCAUUUUAAUUUUGGGAGUUAUUUAAAA
Thalassophryne amazonica is the source of this 485-nucleotide long non-coding RNA. RefSeq lists it as uncharacterized. NCBI's taxonomy places the organism in Eukaryota, Metazoa, Chordata, Actinopteri, Batrachoidiformes, Batrachoididae. The transcript has 2 exons. The record is from RefSeq and is a predicted model, not a curated record.